Molecule: long non-coding RNA, 3124 nt
Organism: Siniperca chuatsi (mandarin fish)
Lineage: Eukaryota; Metazoa; Chordata; Actinopteri; Centrarchiformes; Sinipercidae
Exons: 5
Source: RefSeq, a predicted model, not a curated record
ACAAAGAAGAAGAAGAAGAAGAAGAAGAAGAAGAAGAAGAAGAAGAAGAAGAAGAAGAAGAAGAAGAAGGACAAGGACAAGGACAACGAGGAGAACAACAACACCGGUCUGACCGUUGAGGCUCCUGUCAGUGUGGGAGCAGCAGCACAGACCAAGACAGCACCUGUCAGUCACCAGUCCUGAUGUCAGCUGUACAGUUGAGAGCCAUUCUGCAGGAAUAUGUUUGUUGGCUGGUAAAUGUCUUCUUCUUUUUUAAACAUCUGCUGCAUGCGAUAAUCAGAAAGCUUUCAGUGGCAGAUAAAAGACCGAAGCCCGAAAAUAUUUAGAUCUGACUAAGAUUAAAUUUGGAUUAAAACAAACUGUAGCAGUUAAAAUAAGUGUUGACUAGAAGUGGUGUGAAAAUGUUCUUGGGAGCUUUCUUUCAUUGAGAUGGAUGAAAUGCAUACAUACAAAGUGUUUUGUUUCCAUGUCAGUCAUGAUGUUGGAGUCCAAAUACUGUCAUGAUAUCAUAACACACAGAGCUGCCUCUGUGUCGCUUUAGCACUCUGUCUGCCUCAGCACUGAAUGUGCAAGAGGAGAUUACAAACUGCACCAGGCAGCAGAAUGUCCUCAUCAAGAGUCCUGGAGACAACAGGAGUAAGUGUCAGAGUUUCAGUCAGAAUAUCUUUUAACAGUUCUAUUCAUUUUACUUGCCUAUUAAAAUUGAGAAAAGGUUAGAGGAAUAAUAGGUUUGAGUACUCUGUGAUUGUUAGAUGCAUCACUGUUUACAGCUAAUCUCCUGAAGCCACCUGAAGGUCAGGAUGUAGCAGACUCAGGGUGUGGUUUUAAAUACUGCCUCAUAGCAUGUGGAAGAUAUUACCUGUAAAGGAAAGCACAUCUCCUGCAGGUAGACACACACACACACACUCUUUCGGGACCGUUGGGGCUCAAUAAUUCUGCACUCUGAAAUGGGCCAUUCUGUAUAAUGCAUUUUACUUUUGAUACUUUAGGUUUUGCUGGAAAUACUUCUGAGUACUUCCUCCACCACUGUCAGUAAGAUUUACUUGAUUCAUUCACUAAUACUUAGUGCAUGUGCCUUAAAAUUAAUGUGUUUUAAUGUAAACAAAUGCCAUUGGAGGGUACCUAACGUUACCAAAACAUAUAUUGAUAACAUAUUUUCUAAAGAUAUUAAGACAUUUAUUUGCACUUUAUUACACCCCUGACGGACAUAUUCAGCUCUGUUUGGUCAGCAGAUCAGUUAAAAUGCUGCAGGGAGGAAUAGUACAAACAGAAACAGCCACAGUGAGCUGAAAGGGCUUACUGUGGUUUGUGACCAGCACACCUCCAUCACGUCAUCAAGCUAAACCACUUCACCUUGCUGUGUGAUGCAGUGGGAAAACACCUGCACCGUGUCAGUGUGGCUCCACUGCUUGCGGCUGUUCACAGCGUGACUCGCCGCAACUAACUAUUCAAUUCAGUUUUAUUUAUAUAGCGGCAAUUCAUAACAGAAGUUAUCUCAUUGCGCUACCCCCCCCACAAUGGAGAAACCCUCAUGUAGAACUGAGUGAAAUCAUUUUACAAUAUAUUUAUAUGUGCCCGGUCACAUAUAACUACACAUUGCUUCUUAAAUGUAGAGAUGUUCAUACACCUACAUGCACUGUAGUCUUUGUAGCAAAUAUGAAUUAUAUUGUUCUAGAGGGUUUAUGAAAUUGCACUGUUACAAUGGCUUAACCUCAUAAUGAAAGACACAUCAUUUUUAACUUGUCUAGGACAUGCAAAACACACAGUUCCUACUGUAGUGUGACUGCUGUGUACAGAUCCUAGCUGAGAAGCAGCGCUGCAGUGAGCAACAGAGAUCAGAGCCCGAGCAGCAGUGCUGUCCUGUGGCCACCGAACAGCUGGGGAAGGGACUUCACUCUGCAGCUCUACACCUAAACACUUCACCUUUGAGGUGAAGACUGGUGGAAGCUGGCCAGCAGACAGUAUGAGCUUGCUUUCUUGGGCUGGAGGGGUGCAUGGUCUUCCCCUAGAUCUGUUGAUGUAGCACUGGUGUCUGUGGGAGGCUACAUAAGAACACAAGGCCAAAUUGAGUGUGAUGACGAGGCUGAUGGGUCCUGUGAUGUGUGCUACCUCUGAUUUCCUAUGGUGCUGAGUGUUCGUGAAACUCCAUUUGGAAAUGAGCUGCUGUUUGUUAGCUCACCACAGGGUGGCUGUGGGUAACUGUGUCCUCACUAUGUUGGUGUGAGCACCAUCUUUGGGCCAACUUGCACUGAUGCACAAUAUUUUGAUGAAGUAGAUCUUUCACUGUGUGUGAGAUCCUUACUUACUUCCUAGUGAGGUGCUCUUCCACAUUAGUGAGUCUUUAACAACCUGUCUAUAAUUAUGUGUCUUCUGCUGAUAUCUACUGUACAUCUUUACAGCACAAUCCCAGCAUUUCUGGAGAAUCUUAAGCUCUGAUGUUAGAAAGGCUCAACUUUGGAAUUGGUUAGUAACCCUGCAGUUUACAUCUGCAGAUCAAAAACCUGUUGGUGCUCGUCAGAUGUGUGAGAUCUGGAUGGCUGCUAAAUUAAUUUUAUCAUUUACUAUAACCUCCUUUAUAGACUUAUGGUAACUGAUGAAAACUGAUACAAUGCCCACAAAUUAAAUAUCUAGAAAGAAAUACAGUUGAUUUUUAGGAUAGAAAGAUGAACAUUAGCUGUGCAAUUACACAUCCUGCCAUGACUCUAAUGGGAAUAUGAUACAAAACAAAAAAGCCAGUUCAGACUUUUUGGAAUGAAACACACUUUAAUCACUAAUUUUUAUUAAGAUUCGUAUUACUUUUAAACUGAAAUGAUAUCUUUUAGCCCAUCAAAAUUUAAAAGCUCUGGAAACUUUUGAAAGUUCAGAGGACAACAAGCCACUAACUGUACUUGAGAUCUGGUUUUGAGGGAUAAAAUAAACAAAUUUAGAUUUUUGGGGGGUAUUGUUGCAAUGACCAGUGGUGACUGUUCGCCCCAAGAAUGGUGCUGUGCUCAUAGUAUAACACUGAAUAACACUGAAUAACAAUUGCGCUAUUAGAUAUGAUUGUUUAGUAAAUUAGAAAAUUGAUUUUAUUACUGUAUUAUCACCAUUAUUUCAAUAAAUUCAGAUCACUCUAACUCUCUUA